UGUAAAAUAGUGCUGGAUGAAUUUUCUGUUUAAGAUGAUCAAUACUCAUAACUGUUUCAACAUCUAACUUCUCAGGACUGAAAGAAAAUUGAAAAAGCGUAUUUCCUUACCUGUAUUUUGCAAUGUUAACAGGAGGACUACAGGGAUGAAUAAGCCCAUGCCUUCAUCGAGUUUAUGACUCAUGAAACAGACAGACAACAAGCAGAAAGGUAGGUAUACAAUUUACCAGAUGAUAAUGGUUUUAAAUUCUAAGGAAUAAAAAGAAAAAGACACUAAAGCACAGAGGUUAAAAAAAA
Long non-coding RNA from Phyllostomus discolor (pale spear-nosed bat), 296 nucleotides. RefSeq lists it as uncharacterized. The transcript has 2 exons. Lineage: Eukaryota; Metazoa; Chordata; Mammalia; Chiroptera; Phyllostomidae. The record is from RefSeq and is a predicted model, not a curated record.